This 4075-nucleotide long non-coding RNA is filed under the name Sus scrofa (pig). RNAcentral describes it as "lncRNA (ENSSSCG00000054470.1)". Lineage: Eukaryota; Metazoa; Chordata; Mammalia; Artiodactyla; Suidae. The record is from RNAcentral.
UAAAUGAAAAUACUAAGCAAUUUCAAGGAAUGUCAUCAUUCUAGGAGUCUAGGCAAAGAGUAUAGAGUACUUCUGAAUUCCAAUCUGCUCGAUAAUUUUAUUGUUGAUAUUUUCUAAAGAAAUGUGCUGGAUUUAAAUUUUUUCUGCAGCACUGACCUGUGUUAGGAAUGUCUAUAAAUAAGUAGUCAUUAUGAAAUGAAACCAAAUUAUUUUAUUCACUUUUGCUUUAGAUGAAUAAAUUAUCUAAGGAAAAUUCGGAAUUAAAAUUCUGAAUUAGGAGUUCCCGUUGUGGCGCAGUGAUUAACGAAUCCGACUAGGAACCAUGAGGUUGCGGGUUCGAUCCCUGCCCUUGCUCAGUGGGUUAACGAUCCGGCGUGGCCGUGAGCUGUGGCGUAGGUUGCAGACGCGGCUCGGAUUCCGCGUUGCUGUGGCUCUGGCGUAGGCCAGUGGCUACAGCUCCGAUUCGACCCCUAGCCUGGGAACCUCCAUAUGCCGCGGGAGCGGUCCAAGGAAAUAGCAAAAAGACAAAAAAAAAAUUCUGAAUUAAUUUUAUCUUUUCUUACUGCAGAUUAUUUUAUUGAAAUAUAGAACUGAUUUACAAUACUAUAUUCAUUUCAGAUGUACAGCAUAGUGAUUCAGUAUUUUAUUAUACUCCAUUAGAAGUUAUUACAAAGUAAUGACUAAUUCCCUGUGCUACAUAAUACAUCCUUAUUAUCUACUUUAUAGUAGUUUGUAUCUCUUAAUUCCAUAGGCCUGUCUUUCCCCUCUCCUCGCUAGUAAUAAUGAAUUUUUUUUUCUGUUUGUUUUGUAAUACACACUUGUUCAUUUUUUUAUCCCAUAUAUAUGUGAUAUCAUAUGGUGUUCGUCUUUCUCUGAGCAAUAUUCCUUUGUACAUAUAUACCACAUUUUCCUCAUCCAUUCAUUUGUUGAUGGACACCUGGGUUGUGUCCAUAUUUUGGCUAUUGUAAACAGUGAUCUAUGAAUAUGGUUUGCAUGUAUCUUUUCAAAUUAUUGGUUUUUUUUCCAGAUAUAUGCCCAAGAGUAGAAUUGCUGGAUUCUAUGGCAGUUCUUUUUUUUUGCUUUUGAAGAAACUUCCAUACUGUUUUUUCACAGUGGCUACAGCACUUUACAUUCCUACCAAGAGUGUACAAGAUUGCCUUCACCCCACAUCCCUGCAAACAUUUGUUGCUUUUUGUUGACAGCCAUUCUGACACGUGUGAGGUGAUCUCUUCUUGUUGUGAUUUGCAUUUUUCUAAUGACUAGCAAGGUUGAGCAUCUUUUCUUGUGCCUAUGAGCCAAAUGUAUGUCUUCUUUGGAAAAAUUCUACUCAGGUUGUUUAACCAUUUUUUGGAUUGGGUUAUUUGGUUUUUCAUAUUAAGCUGUAAAAGCUAUUUAUAUAUUUUGGAUAUUAACCCCUUGUUGGUCAUAUUACUUGCAAAUUUUUCUCCCAUUCCAUAAGUUGUCUUUUCAUUUUUUUGCAGUGGUUCCCUUACUAUGUAAAAACAUUAAAGUUUAAUUAGAUCCCAUUUUUUCACUUUUACUUUAGGAGACAAAUCCAAAAAAAUACUGCUACGAUUUAUGCCAAAGGGUGUUCUACUUUUGUUUUCUGCUAGUUUUAUGGUUUCAUGUAUCACAUUUAGGUCUCAAAAAAUUUGUUUUCCUGUCUUUCUAGGGCUACAAUGAAGCAUAUGGAAGUUUCCAAGCCAGCGGUCAAAUUGGAGCUGUAGCCGUAGGCCUAUGACAGAACCACACCAAUUGCCAGAUCUGAGCCAUGUCUGUGACCUACACCACUGCUCACAGCAACAAUGGAUCCUUUAUAACCCACUGAUUGAGGCCAGGGAUUGAACCCACAUCCGUAUGGACACCAGUGGGGUUCAUUACCACUGAGCCACAUGGGAACUCCAUAUUUAGGUCUUUAAAAUCCAUUUUGAGUUUAUUUUUGUUUGUGUUUUGAGGAAAAAUUCUAAUCUCAUUAUUUUAGACAUAUAUUCAAGCCCUGGCCUUGCUCAAUGGGUUAAGGAUAAUGCAUUGCCAUGAGCUGUGGUACAGGUCAUGGACAUGGCUUGGAUCUGGCAUUGCUGUGGCUGUGGCAUAGGUCAGCAGUUACAGCUCCGAUUUGACCCCCAGGCCUGCAAACCUCCAUAUGCUGUGGGUACGGCCCUAAAAAGACCAAAAAAAAAAAAAAAAGGAAAGAAAAGUGAAAUCAAACAUAAUUUCCAACCACAAAGCUAUAAGGUCAGAAUCAACUAUUAGGGGAAAAAACCUGCAAAAAACACAGACACAUGGAGACUAAACAAUACACUACUAAACAACCAAUGUCGCUGAAAAAAGUCUAAGAGGAAAUUAAAAAAAAGACAAAUGAAAACAUAAUGAUCCAAAACCUACGAGACACAGCAAAAGCAGUUCUGAGAAGGAAAUUUAUAGCAAUACAAGUUUGUCUUGGGAAACAAACAAACAAAAAUCUCAAAUAAACAACCUUGCCUUAUACCUAACACAACUAGGGAAAGGAGAACAAACAAAACCCAAAGUUAAUAGAAAGAAAGCAUGAAGAACAGAGCAGAAAUAAAGACAAAGAAAACAAUAGAAAAGAUCAAUAAAAUUGAUAAAACUUUUAGCCAGAUUCAUCAAGAAAAAAAAAAAAAAGAGGGGCUCAAAUCAAUAAAAUUAGAGAUGAAAAAUCAGAAGUUACAAUGAACAUUACAGAAAUAAAAAGGAUCAUAAAAGACUAUAGAAGCAACUAUAUGCCAAUAAAAUGGACAACUAAGAAGAAAUGGACAAAUUCUUAGUAAGGAAAAAUCUUCCAUGAAUGACCAAGAAAGAAAUAGAAAAUAUAAACAGACCAAUCAGAAGUACUAAAAUUGAAACUGUGAUUAAAAAACUUCCAAUGAAAAAAAUCCCAAUACCAGAUGGCUUCACAGGUGAAUUCUAUCAAAUGUUUAGAGAAGAUAUAACACUUAUCCUUUUGAAAAUAUUUCAGAAAACUGCCAAGAAAGUCUCUCAAACUCAUUCUAUGAGGCCAUUAUCACCAUGAUACCAAAACCAAAGAUACAACAAGAGAAAAUUACAGACCAAUAUCACUGGUGAAUAAUAAUGCAAAAUCCCUCAAUCAAAUACUAAAUCCAACAAAACAAUUAAAGGACCAUACACCACGAUCAAGUGGGCUUUACCCCAGGGAUGCAAGGAUCUUUCAAUAUCUGCAAGUCAAUCAGUGUGAUACACCAAACUGAAUAAUAAAAACCAUGUGACUACCUCAAUAGAUGCAGAAAAGCUUCCAACAAAAUCCAACACCGAUUUCUGAUUAAAAAAAACCUCUAGAAAGUGAGCAUAGAGGGAAUCCAUGUCAACAUAAUAAAUGUGAAAUAUGACAAACUCACAGCUGACAUUAUUCUCAAUGGUAAAAAGCUGAAAUCAUUUCCUCUAAGAUCAGGAACAAGACAAGGAUGUAAACUCUCAUGAUUUUUAUUCAACAUAGUUUUUGAAGUCCUAGCCACAGCAAUCAGAGAAGAAAAAGAAAUAAGAAGAAUUCAAAUUGGAAAAUAAGAAGUAAAGCUGUCACUCUUUGCAGAUGACAUGAUACUAUACAUAGAAAAUCCUACAGAUGCUGCCAGAAAUCUACCAGAGUUUAUCAGUCACUUUGGUAAAUUUGCAUGGUUCAAAAUUAAUACACAUAAGUCUCUUGCUUUCCUAUAUACUAAUAAAGAAAGAUCAGAAAGAAAUUAAGGAAAUAAUCACAUUCACCAUCACAUUAAAAGAAUACUAAGGAACAAACCCACAUAAGACCUGUACUCAGAAAACUGUAAGAUGCUGUUGAAAGAAAUCAAAAAUGACACAAAGAGGAGUUCCUGAAUGGCUCAGUGGUUAACGAAUCCGACUAGGAUCCAUGACGUUGUGGGUUUGAUCCCUGGCCUUGCUCCAUGGGUUAAGGAUCCAGUGCUGCCCUGAGCUGUGGUGUAGGUUGCAGCUGUGGCUCAGAUACUGCAUUGCCAUGGCUGUGGUGUAGGCCGGCGGCUACAGCUCUGAUUAGACCCCUAGCCUGGGAACCUCCAUAUGCUGCGGGAGUGGCCCUAGAAAAGGC